Molecule: transfer RNA, 69 nt
Filed under: Rhinopomastus cyanomelas (common scimitar-bill)
Lineage: Eukaryota; Metazoa; Chordata; Aves; Bucerotiformes; Rhinopomastidae
Description: tRNA-Gly
Source: RNAcentral
GCUCCCCUAGUAUACUUAUUACAAUCGACUUCCAAUCGAUAAAAUCUGGCAUAGCCCCAGAGAGGAGCA